GUAUUUAUUAGAUAAAGAACCAAUAUUUUUUUUUGGUGACUCAUAAUAACUUUACGGAUCACAAUAAUUUAUUUUGUGACAUAUCAUUCAAGUUUCUGACCUAUCAGCUUUAGACGGUAGGGUAUUGGCCUACCGUGGCUAUGACGGGUAACGGGGAAUUAGGGUUCGAUUCCGGAGAGGGAGCCUGAGAAACGGCUACCACAUCUAAGGAAGGCAGCAGGCGCGCAAAUUACCCAAUCCUAAUACAGGGAGGUAGUGACAAGAAAUAACAAUACAGGACUUUACGGUUUUGUAAUUGGAAUGAGUUAAGUAUAAACCCCUUUACAAGUAUCAAUUGGAGGGCAAGUCUGGUGCCAGCAGCCGCGGUAAUUCCAGCUCCAAUAGCGUAUAUUAAAGUUGUUGCAGUUAAAAAGCUCGUAGUUGGAUUUCUGUUAAUACCUUAUAUAUAAUAUUUUUUUUUAAAUAUUAAUAUGUAAGAUUAACAUAAUUCAUAUUUUUAAGACUGAAUUUUUAGUUUUGAUAAUAUGAAAUUUUACUUUGAGAAAAUUAGAGUGCUUAAAGCAGGCUUUUGCCUUGAAUACUCCAGCAUGGAAUAAUAAUAAAAGAUUUUUAUCUUUUUUUUAUUGGUUCUAAGAUAAAAAUAAUGAUUAAUAGGGACAGUUGGGGGCAUUUGUAUUUAACAGUCAGAGGUGAUAUUCUUAGAUUUGUUAAAGACAAACUAAUGCGAAAGCAUUUGCCAAGGAUGUUUUCAUUAAUCAAGAACGAAAGUUAGGGGAUCGAAGACGAUCAGAUACCGUCGUAGUCUUAACCAUAAA
RNAcentral lists this ribosomal RNA (815 nucleotides) under Cryptosporidium felis. Its description in RNAcentral is "partial 18S ribosomal RNA". It matches the Rfam family "Eukaryotic small subunit ribosomal RNA", at positions 203 to 1036 of the family's 1831-position model. The record is from RNAcentral. Lineage: Eukaryota; Apicomplexa; Conoidasida; Eucoccidiorida; Cryptosporidiidae.